CGGCGUGCCUAAUACAUGCAAGUAGAACGCUGAAGAGAGGAGCUUGCUCUUCUUGGAUGAGUUGCGAACGGGUGAGUAACGCGUAGGUAACCUGCCUUGUAGCGGGGGAUAACUAUUGGAAACGAUAGCUAAUACCGCAUAACAAUGGAUGACACAUGUCAUUUAUUUGAAAGGGGCAAAUGCUCCACUACAAGAUGGACCUGCGUUGUAUUAGCUAGUAGGUGAGGUAACGGCUCACCUAGGCGACGAUACAUAGCCGACCUGAGAGGGUGAUCGGCCACACUGGGACUGAGACACGGCCCAGACUCCUACGGGAGGCAGCAGUAGGGAAUCUUCGGCAAUGGGGGCAACCCUGACCGAGCAACGCCGCGUGAGUGAAGAAGGUUUUCGGAUCGUAAAGCUCUGUUGUAAGUCAAGGACGAGUGUGAGAGUGGAAAGUUCACACUGUGACGGUAGCUUACCAGAAAGGGACGGCUAACUACGUGCCAGCAGCCGCGGUAAUACGUAGGUCCCGAGCGUUGUCCGGAUUUAUUGGGCGUAAAGCGAGCGCAGGCGGUUUGAUAAGUCUGAAGUUAAAGGCUGUGGCUCAACCAUAGUUCGCUUUGGAAACUGUCAAACUUGAGUGCAGAAGGGGAGAGUGGAAUUCCAUGUGUAGCGGUGAAAUGCGUAGAUAUAUGGAGGAACACCGGUGGCGAAAGCGGCUCUCUGGUCUGUAACUGACGCUGAGGCUCGAAAGCGUGGGGAGCGAACAGGAUUAGAUACCCUGGUAGUCCACGCCGUAAACGAUGAGUGCCAGGUGUUGGAUCCUUUCCGGGAUUCAGUGCCGCAGCUAACGCAUUAAGCACUCCGCCUGGGGAGUACGACCGCAAGGUUGAAACUCAAAGGAAUUGACGGGGGCCCGCACAAGCGGUGGAGCAUGUGGUUUAAUUCGAAGCAACGCGAAGAACCUUACCAGGUCUUGACAUCCCGAUGCUAUUUCUAGAGAUAGAAAGUUACUUCGGUACAUCGGUGACAGGUGGUGCAUGGUUGUCGUCAGCUCGUGUCGUGAGAUGUUGGGUUAAGUCCCGCAACGAGCGCAACCCCUAUUGUUAGUUGCCAUCAUUCAGUUGGGCACUCUAGCGAGACUGCCGGUAAUAAACCGGAGGAAGGUGGGGAUGACGUCAAAUCAUCAUGCCCCUUAUGACCUGGGCUACACACGUGCUACAAUGGUUGGUACAACGAGUUGCGAGUCGGUGACGGCAAGCUAAUCUCUUAAAGCCAAUCUCAGUUCGGAUUGUAGGCUGCAACUCGCCUACAUGAAGUCGGAAUCGCUAGUAAUCGCGGAUCAGCACGCCGCGGUGAAUACGUUCCCGGGCCUUGUACACACCGCCCGUCACACCACGAGAGUUUGUAACACCCGAAGUCGGUGAGGUAACCUUUUGGAGCCAGCCGCCUAAGGUGGGAUAGAUGAUU
RNAcentral lists this ribosomal RNA (1452 nucleotides) under uncultured organism. RNAcentral describes it as "16S ribosomal RNA". It matches the Rfam family "Bacterial small subunit ribosomal RNA". The record is from RNAcentral.